GAAGAACUUCAGAUUGAGCCUCUUGAAACAUUUGCUCUUGGAAUUCUCCCUCUCAGGAAACUAACAGCCUGCUAUGAAGCCCAAGCCACAAAGAGAGGCCAAGGGGAAAUAAACAGAGUGUGAUUAUAUGCAAAACCUACAAGAAUGAGGACCUCCAAACUCAGUGUACAGAGUGAUUUUCUGCUGAAACAAUUGGAUAAGCUACAUAAAUGACGGCAUAUUGGAUGGUGACAGCGCCUCUAGAGUGUGUACUUCUGAUAUGCAAAGACAUACCAUGUCAGUUUACAACUGUAUUGUAUUUUGUUCUGUUUUCCCUUAUGAUGAUUCACUGGCUGUGAAGCUUUUAAAAAAUUGUGUGACUGACCAGCAGCAGUGGCUCACAUCUGUAAUCCCAGCACUUUGGGAGGCCGAGAAAAUAAAAGAGACAUCAGUGUGUGAAUGACGACUUUCUGUUGCUGACUUGGAAGACAGAGGAAUUGGGUCAUGAGCCGAGGAAGGUGGGCAGCUUCUAAAAGGCGGAAAAGGCAGGGGAUGGCUCUGGCAGAGAAUCACUCCUGAGUACAACUUUCUGGCGGAAGCUCUAAUACAAGAUGUAUACAGAAAAUUACAUUAAAUACCUGUCUCCAGCCUGCUUCAUGUAUUUCUGCAAUGACUAAAGAUGCAUGUUCAGUUUUGGAGGAAUCUUGGGCAACCUUCAGAAAAGAAGAGCGGCAUUGAAUUAAAUGGACUAUAAAAGGAAAUCUUUCAGCUGAAGUAUUCUGACAGCAGCAUAUUCUUGCCAACCAGGUCGUUCCAAAUGUGUAUCUGACCAUUAUUUUAAAUUAGAAGAUAUACCACUGUCAAACCAUAUCAGCCAAGAAUAAAAAGUGACAUAAUAAUGUUAAAGGAAAAACCACUGACAAUUUUUUCAGUAGUUCUCAUCCAGUACCAUAAUGCAAUAGAAUGUCAUAAGUAAUUUGUUUCUAAUAACACUAAAAGC
Molecule: long non-coding RNA, 979 nt
Filed under: Homo sapiens (human)
Lineage: Eukaryota; Metazoa; Chordata; Mammalia; Primates; Hominidae
Description: HSALNT0322100
Source: RNAcentral